GACGAACGCUGKCGGCGUGCUUAACACAUGCAAGUCGAGCGGUAAGGCCCUUCGGGGUACACGAGCGGCGAACGGGUGAGUAACACGUGGGUGAUCUGCCCUGCACUUCGGGAUAAGCCUGGGAAACUGGGUCUAAUACCGGAUAUGACCAAAGGCUGCAUGGCUUUUGGUGGAAAGGUUUACUGGUGCAGGAUGGGCCCGCGGCCUAUCAGCUUGUUGGUGGGGUAAUGGCCUACCAAGGCGACGACGGGUAGCCGACCUGAGAGGGUGACCGGCCACACUGGGACUGAGACACGGCCCAGACUCCUACGGGAGGCAGCAGUGGGGAAUAUUGCACAAUGGGCGAAAGCCUGAUGCAGCGACGCCGCGUGAGGGAUGAAGGCCUUCGGGUUGUAAACCUCUUUCAGCAGGGACGAAGCGAAAGUGACGGUACCUGCAGAAGAAGCACCGGCU
RNAcentral lists this ribosomal RNA (453 nucleotides) under bacterium Ellin304. RNAcentral's name for it is "bacterial SSU rRNA". It matches the Rfam family "Bacterial small subunit ribosomal RNA", at positions 28 to 498 of the family's 1533-position model. Lineage: Bacteria; Bacillati; Actinomycetota; Actinomycetes; Mycobacteriales; Nocardiaceae. The record is from RNAcentral.